ACGUAGGUGGCAAGCGUUGUCCGGAAUUAUUGGGCGUAAAGCGCGCGCAGGCGGUUUCUUAAGUCUGAUGUGAAAGCCCCCGGCUCAACCGGGGAGGGUCAUUGGAAACUGGGAAACUUGAGUGCAGAAGAGGAAAGUGGAAUUCCAAGUGUAGCGGUGAAAUGCGUAGAGAUUUGGAGGAACACCAGUGGCGAAGGCGACUUUCUGGUCUGUAACUGACGCUGAGGCGCGAAAGCGUGGGGAGCAAACAGGA
Molecule: ribosomal RNA, 253 nt
Filed under: uncultured prokaryote
Description: partial 16S ribosomal RNA
Rfam family: Bacterial small subunit ribosomal RNA
Source: RNAcentral